This is a non-coding RNA of Cordylochernes scorpioides, 73 nucleotides long. Lineage: Eukaryota; Metazoa; Arthropoda; Arachnida; Pseudoscorpiones; Chernetidae. The record is from the annotation of a GenBank genome assembly.
UCCAGGGUAGCCUAGUGGACAUGGCAUCUGCCCGGUAAGCGGAACACUGUGGGUUCGAUUCCCAUCACUGGAC